AACUUUUAAUAACAGAUCUCUUGGUUCCAGCAUUAAUGAAGAAUGCAGCAAAAUGCAAUAAGUAAUGUGAAUUACAGAAUUUCAUGAAUUAUCAAAUCUUUAAAAUUUAACAUACAAGUGCCG
This 123-nucleotide ribosomal RNA is filed under the name Coccidioides immitis RS. Its description in RNAcentral is "5.8S ribosomal RNA". It matches the Rfam family "5.8S ribosomal RNA". Rfam says of the family: 5.8S ribosomal RNA (5.8S rRNA) is a component of the large subunit of the eukaryotic ribosome. It is transcribed by RNA polymerase I as part of the 45S precursor that also contains 18S and 28S rRNA. Functionally, it is thought that 5.8S rRNA may be involved in ribosome translocation. The record is from Rfam by way of RNAcentral. Lineage: Eukaryota; Fungi; Ascomycota; Eurotiomycetes; Onygenales; Onygenaceae.